GAUGAACGCUGGCGGCGUGCCUAAUACAUGCAAGUCGAACGCAUAGCGAAAGGUGCUUGCACCUUUCAAGUGAGUGGCGAACGGGUGAGUAACACGUGGACAACCUGCCUCAAGGCUGGGGAUAACAUUUGGAAACAGAUGCUAAUACCGAAUAAAACUUAGUGUCGCAUGACACAAAGUUAAAAGGCGCUUCGGCGUCACCUAGAGAUGGAUCCGCGGUGCAUUAGUUAGUUGGUGGGGUAAAGGCCUACCAAGACAAUGAUGCAUAGCCGAGUUGAGAGACUGAUCGGCCACAUUGGGACUGAGACACGGCCCAAACUCCUACGGGAGGCUGCAGUAGGGAAUCUUCCACAAUGGGCGAAAGCCUGAUGGAGCAACGCCGCGUGUGUGAUGAAGGCUUUCGGGUCGUAAAGCACUGUUGUAUGGGAAGAACAGCUAGGAUAGGAAAUGAUUUUAGUUUGACGGUACCAUACCAGAAAGGGACGGCUAAAUACGUG
This 497-nucleotide ribosomal RNA is filed under the name uncultured bacterium. RNAcentral describes it as "partial 16S ribosomal RNA". It matches the Rfam family "Bacterial small subunit ribosomal RNA", at positions 28 to 507 of the family's 1533-position model. The record is from RNAcentral.